AGGGUGAUAGUCCCGUACACCAAAAUGCACAGGUUGUGAACUCGAAGAGUAGGGCGGGACACGUGGUAUCCUGUCUGAAUAUGGGGGGACCAUCCUCCAAGGCUAAAUACUCCUGACUGACCGAUAGUGAACCAGUACCGUGAGGGAAAGGCGAAAAGAACCCCGGCGAGGGGAGUGAAAAAGAACCUGAAACCGUGUACGUACAAGCAGUGGGAGCACCUUCGGGUGUGACUGCGUACCUUUUGUAUAAUGGGUCAGCGACUUAUAUUCUGUAGCAAGGUUAACCGUAUAGGGGAGCCGCAGGGAAACCGAGUCUUAACUGGGCGUUAAGUUGCAGGGUAUAGACCCGAAACCCGGUGAUCUAGCCAUGGGCAGGUUGAAGGUUGGGUAACACUAACUGGAGGACCGAACCGACUAAUGUUGAAAAAUUAGCGGAUGACUUGUGGCUGGGGGUGAAAGGCCAAUCAAACCGGGAGAUAGCUGGUUCUCCCCGAAAGCUAUUUAGGUAGCGCCUCGUGAACUCAUCUUCGGGGGUAGAGCACUGUUUCGGCUAGGGGGUCAUCCCGACUUACCAACCCGAUGCAAACUACGAAUACCGAAGAAUGUUAUCACGGGAGACACACGGCGGGUGCUAACGUCCGUCGUGAAGAGGGAAACAACCCAGACCGCCAGCUAAGGUCCCAAAGUCAUGGUUAAGUGGGAAACGAUGUGGGAAGGCACAGACAGCCAGGAUGUUGGCUUAGAAGCAGCCAUCAUUUAAAGAAAGCGUAAUAGCUCACUGGUCGAGUCGGCCUGCGCGGAAGAUGUAACGGGGCUAAACCAUGCACCGAAGCUGCGGCAGCGACACUAUGUGUUGUUG
RNAcentral lists this ribosomal RNA (859 nucleotides) under Klebsiella pneumoniae. RNAcentral's name for it is "partial 23S ribosomal RNA". It matches the Rfam family "Bacterial large subunit ribosomal RNA", at positions 361 to 1226 of the family's 2925-position model. The record is from RNAcentral. Lineage: Bacteria; Pseudomonadati; Pseudomonadota; Gammaproteobacteria; Enterobacterales; Enterobacteriaceae.